AACGCGAAGAACCUUACCUAGGCUUGACAUGUUUUUGACAGCUUCCGAAAUGAAGCCUUCCAAAGUUUACUUUGGACAAUUUCACAGGUGUUGCAUGGCCGUCGUCAGCUCGUGUCGUGAGAUGUUGGGUUAAGUCCUAUAACGAGCGCAACCCUUGCUGUUAGUUGCUACUUCGUGAGAAGGCACUCUAGCGGGACUGCCUGGGAAACCAGGAGGAAGGUGGGGAUGAUGUCAGGUCCGCAUGGCCCUUAUGCCUAGGGCAACACACGUGUUACAAUGGUUGGUACAAAGGGUUGCGAACCCGCAAGGGGGAGCUAAUCCCAUAAAGCCAAUCUAAGUUCAGAUUGAGGUCUGCAACUCGACCUCAUGAAGUUGAAAUCGCUAGUAAUCGCAUAUCAGAACGAUGCGGUGAAUACGUUCCCGGGCCUUGUACACACCGCGUGUCU
RNAcentral lists this ribosomal RNA (446 nucleotides) under uncultured bacterium. RNAcentral's name for it is "bacterial SSU rRNA". It matches the Rfam family "Bacterial small subunit ribosomal RNA", at positions 958 to 1399 of the family's 1533-position model. The record is from RNAcentral.